UACGUAGGGGGCAAGCGUUAUCCGGGUUUACUGGGUGUAAAGGGAGCGUAGACGGCCAGACAAGUCUGAAGUGAAAAUCCAGCGCUUAACGUUGGAAGUGCUUUGGAAACUGCCGGGCUAGAGUGCAGGAGGGGCAGGCGGAAUUCCUAGUGUAGCGGUGAAAUGCGUAGAUAUUAGGGGGAACACCAGUGGCGAAGGCGGCCUGCUGGACUGCAACUGACGUUGAGGCUCGAAGGCGUGGGGAGCAAACAGG
RNAcentral lists this ribosomal RNA (253 nucleotides) under uncultured bacterium. Its description in RNAcentral is "partial 16S ribosomal RNA". It matches the Rfam family "Bacterial small subunit ribosomal RNA", at positions 524 to 776 of the family's 1533-position model. The record is from RNAcentral.